GCAGGAUACGGGUAGCUCAGAGCAGUUUUCACCUAUUUUCAACCACAUCUCAUAAAGACAUAAAAAUGGACUCCUGGAACUGGUUAAGUGCUUGAAAUCACCCCUUGUACUUCUCUCUCCAGGAAACAGGGCUUUAUCCUCAGAGUCUCUCGGAGGCUGCGCUGUGCUCAGUGACUCACCUGGAAGCACAGAGGUGGGAAAGGGAACCCUGCAGCUUCACAGUGGAGGGACAUAGCCAGCACCAGAUUAGCCAGUGAUUGAGGUUAACAUCAUCAGUGGAGUCAUGAAGAAGUGGGGAGGGCUCCACCUUUGGGGUACUCUCUUCCAAAACCCAGACCCCCAUCUGACAGCAAGAGAAGCCAAGACACCGUUCAGGGCAUCUGGCCAGCUUGAGGCUGCAAGCGUCAUGAAAAGCAAGGGAAGACCAAGAAACCCACAGGCGAUGGGGUGCAGUGUGGCACCCUCAGUGGGUCCUGGGACAAAGGCAGGCAUGGACGCAGACCAUGGUGAAAUUCAAACCAGGUCUAAUUAACAAGGGGACACCCAAGAUCCAUUAUGGAGUUUUUACAAUGUGCUAUGAAAAUACAAAACAGUAAUGAAGGGGAAAGCAAGUUGGGGGUAUAUGGGAACUCUAUACUGUGGACAACAUUUCUGUGCAUUUAAAAUUACCUCAGAAUAAGGUUUUCCUAAUUAAAUGUAAGCAAAUUAGAGGUUA
Cavia porcellus (domestic guinea pig) is the source of this 715-nucleotide long non-coding RNA. RefSeq lists it as uncharacterized. The transcript has 2 exons. NCBI's taxonomy places the organism in Eukaryota, Metazoa, Chordata, Mammalia, Rodentia, Caviidae. The record is from RefSeq and is a predicted model, not a curated record.